GACAGAGGGGGCAAGCGUUGCUCGGAAUUACUGGGCGUAAAGGGCGCGUAGGCGGCCUGUUAAGUCGAACGUGAAAUCCCUGGGCUCAACCCAGGAACUGCGUCCGAUACUGGCAGGCUUGAAUCCGGGAGAGGGAUGCGGAAUUCCAGGUGUAGCGGUGAAAUGCGUAGAUAUCUGGAGGAACACCGGUGGCGAAGGCGGCAUCCUGGACCAAUAUUGACGCUGAGGAGCGAAAGCCAGGGGAGCAAACGGG
This 253-nucleotide ribosomal RNA is filed under the name uncultured bacterium. RNAcentral's name for it is "partial 16S ribosomal RNA". It matches the Rfam family "Bacterial small subunit ribosomal RNA", at positions 524 to 776 of the family's 1533-position model. The record is from RNAcentral.